CCUACGGGAGGCAGCAGUGGGGAAUAUUGCACAAUGGGGGAAACCCUGAUGCAGCGACGCCGCGUGAGUGAAGAAGUAUUUCGGUAUGUAAAGCUCUAUCAGCAGGAAUGAGACAAGACGGUACCUGACUAAGAAGCCCCGGCUAACUACGUGCCAGCAGCCGCGGUAAUACGUAGGGGGCAAGCGUUAUCCGGAUUUACUGGGUGUAAAGGGAGCGUAGACGGCGGUGCAAGCCAGGUGUGAAAGCCCGGGGCUCAACCCCGGGACUGCAUUUGGAACUGUGCUGCUAGAGUGUCGGAGAGGCAGGCGGAAUUCCUGGUGUAGCGGUGAAAUGCGUAGAUAUUAGGAGGAACACCAGUGGCGAAGGCGGCCUGCUGGAC
This 380-nucleotide ribosomal RNA is filed under the name uncultured bacterium. Its description in RNAcentral is "partial 16S ribosomal RNA". It matches the Rfam family "Bacterial small subunit ribosomal RNA", at positions 338 to 734 of the family's 1533-position model. The record is from RNAcentral.